Long non-coding RNA from Carya illinoinensis, 1012 nucleotides. RefSeq lists it as uncharacterized. The record is from RefSeq and is a predicted model, not a curated record. NCBI's taxonomy places the organism in Eukaryota, Viridiplantae, Streptophyta, Magnoliopsida, Fagales, Juglandaceae. The transcript is spliced from 3 exons.
CUCUAUAGGAAACUGGCCAGGGGAACUGCGGGGAAACCGCAUCCGACGUGGAAAAUGUAAACGAUGUCGUUUACUCUUUCUUCCGUUUCCCCCUUUUUAUUUCAUUUCAUACUCGAAAUCCCCCCUUCCCCCAUUUCCGGACCUCUCUUCCAUCUUCGCUCCUUCGUCUUCCACCUUCCUCACUCGAAAUCUACCACACGAAACCUGCUACCAAGGACCUUUGAAGCCGAAAGCUCCAUUCUCACGGAACCCCACCUUCCCACUCAAAAUCGACAUUGAAACCGAAAGCUCUGCCUCCCCCUUCGAAGCCGAAAGACACCAAAGCUCUACCUCUCCCUUCGACGCAAUCUCCUUACCCGAAACCCUAACCAAAGCUUUGCGUUUCAACCUCCCCUUUCCUUCUUUUUCUUUUAAAUUUUCCUUGGUACAGGAUAUCUCCGAUGUUCAAUGGAGGAACUUUCGUGGAAAUUGACCUGUUCUUACCGUUGUUUUUGGGAUAUUUACUUUGGUGGCCAAUAACCUGAGGGCUUAAUUUGGCUUAAGAGAGAGGGGGAUGUCCGUUGUUUGGCAAAGGUAUUACAUCUCAUUUAGCAUUAUUUUGAAGAAAUAAUUUUGUGGCAGCAACAUGGAUGGAAUUAGUGAGCACUUGGUGGGAUAGAGUUGUGAGCUAAUUAUAGCUCCAGCAAGUGCAAAUCGGUUGAGGAGGCUUGUUGCAGCUUCACCUUCUGCAGGUUUUUAUCUUGUUCUCUGUAAUAGUUUCAUUACUUUUUGAGAUCCUUGCUCUAGCACUGCUUAAAGGUAUGCAUUGCUCUGAAUGUUGCACUGCUUACCUUUUCCUCUACUUCUCAGUCAGGGUUGUUUACACUGCUUACUUGCUCAUUUCUACGGCCUUCAUCCAGAUGUCAUCAUCAUCAAAAUCAUCAAGGACUUCUUCAUCAUUGAGGUUGAAGAAAUUCUGCUUCUGUGAGGUUGAAGCCACAUUGAGGUACUCAAAUACUGCAAGAAGGUGGAU